GAUCUUGUAGUGAAGUUCACGUUGAGUUGCAAACUCAUUGAUGUGCAUUAAAGAUGCGCCAGGGUCU
This 67-nucleotide transfer RNA is filed under the name Milvus milvus (red kite). RNAcentral's name for it is "tRNA-Cys". RNAcentral also lists the same sequence under 1 other name. Lineage: Eukaryota; Metazoa; Chordata; Aves; Accipitriformes; Accipitridae. The record is from RNAcentral.